Molecule: ribosomal RNA, 775 nt
Filed under: uncultured bacterium
Lineage: Bacteria
Description: bacterial SSU rRNA
Rfam family: Bacterial small subunit ribosomal RNA
Source: RNAcentral
AGAGUUUGAUUCUGGCUCAGGACGAACGCUGGCGGCGUGCUAACACAUGCAAGUCGAACGGAAAGGCCCCAGCUUGCUGGGGUACUCGAGUGGCGAACGGGUGAGUAACACGUGGGUGAUCUGCCCUGCACUUCGGGAUAAGCCUGGGAAACUGGGUCUAAUACCGGAUAGGACCAUCGUUUAGUGUCGGUGGUGGAAAGUUUUUCGGUGCAGGAUGAGCCCCCGGCCUAUCAGCUUGUCGGUGGGGUAAUGGCCUACCAAGGCGUCGACGGGUAGCCGGCCUGAGAGGGUGGACGGCCACAUUGGGACUGAGACACGGCCCAGACUCCUACGGGAGGCAGCAGUGGGGAAUAUUGCACAAUGGGCGCAAGCCUGAUGCAGCGACGCCGCGUGGGGGAUGACGGCCUUCGGGUUGUAAACUCCUUUCAACCAUGACGAAGCUUUUUGUGACGGUAGUGGUAGAAGAAGCACCGGCUAACUACGUGCCAGCAGCCGCGGUAAUACGUAGGGUGCGAGCGUUGUCCGGAAUUACUGGGCGUAAAGAGCUCGUAGGUGGUUUGUCGCGUCGUCUGUGAAAUUCCGGGGCUUAACUCCGGGCGUGCAGGCGAUACGGGCAUAACUUGAGUACUGUAGGGGAGACUGGAAUUCCUGGUGUAGCGGUGAAAUGCGCAGAUAUCAGGAGGAACACCGAUGGCGAAGGCAGGUCUCUGGGCAGUUACUGACGCUGAGGAGCGAAAGCAUGGGUAGCGAGCAGGAUUAGAUACCCUGGUAGUCC